AAAUGACUCUGUUUUGCUUUCGAUCGAAUUACGUCAAUGUCGAAGUAUGGGCAAUAUUAGCUUUUUAUAAAGACUGGUCUUAAAGGUGAGAUAUACAUAAAUGGUUCAAAUGAAGAUAUUUUUCGUAAUUAGAAGCGAUUCCGACACUCUAAGUAUACAUCACUGUGGACGAAGAGCACCAGGAGAAUUUGCGAAGACGACUACUAUGUAAAAAAAGAAAUAGGUCCAUUCAUAACGCAAUACAUCAAUCAAAAUAACGGAAAAACUAAAAGGCUAUAAGUAUACAAGUAAAAGUUAAACAAGAGAGAGCGCUAAAGUCAAGUUGCCCGUCUGUCAGAUACCCGCAACUAAGGUUGUGGAAGAGCUUCCUUCUGCCCGUUACAUACUUUUCAACGAAAAUAGUAUACCCUUUUACUCUAAAAUUUAUAUAUACAAGAGUCGAGUUUUCUCUUCGACUUACAGAUACCCUUUACUCAGUUAGUGGAAAUGCGAUCGAGAAAUUUCAACAUUUUUUUGACACCGAUAGAAAUAGACAAGGCAAAUAAUUAAACGAAAAAAUUAAAACCUUUAUUUAGAAGUGUGGACGUGAAAAUUUUGGGACGUUUGUCGGCGCGGCAAAACGUUUUUGGCAAAUCAAUAAAAAUUUACAAAACUCAUAAAAAAAUGAAAAUAUUUCAACACAUUUUCCAAAAAUGACGGUUUUGUGUGGUUGAUGUUCUUCGCAUCAUUUGGAAAGAAACUUGCGGCUCUGUCUUUAGAAUCGUGUUCCUGAUUAUACUUAAUAUAUACUGAAUAAUAAACUAUUCUAUAAUUAAAAAACAA
Long non-coding RNA from Drosophila yakuba, 822 nucleotides. RefSeq lists it as uncharacterized. The record is from RefSeq and is a predicted model, not a curated record. NCBI's taxonomy places the organism in Eukaryota, Metazoa, Arthropoda, Insecta, Diptera, Drosophilidae. The transcript is spliced from 2 exons.